This is a long non-coding RNA of Bubalus bubalis (water buffalo), 1048 nucleotides long. RefSeq lists it as uncharacterized. NCBI's taxonomy places the organism in Eukaryota, Metazoa, Chordata, Mammalia, Artiodactyla, Bovidae. The record is from RefSeq and is a predicted model, not a curated record. The transcript has 2 exons.
UGCGGUGGUGUGCUUUCCAACCGAAGGCCCAGGACUCAGGUCCCAGGACCACGCACGGAUUCUCGUUAGAUUAAAUGUCUCCUGGGUUAACAGCGGGUACCUCCUGGGGCUGCUUUUGCAGGCCGGCGUUAGCCUCAGCGCAGGCUGGGACAACCUGGCCAUCUGGAUCCCAUUGGCGGGGCUUCAGAGGUUCCUGCGGAGGCUGGAGCAGGCUCUGAACAGUUCUCAGCUUUUCAUCUGGGCACGAAGCAGGUUCGGAUUUUGUGCAGAAUCAUGCAAGAAGUUCAACUGAGACGCUGCUGAAGAGAGGAAGGCUGGAGUCCAGGAUAAGUCUGGAGACAGAAGGCCACGCUCACCAGGAAUCUGGCUGAAAGCACCGCCAGGCCCUGAAGGAGCCGUGAGGGGCACGUGGCCAUCCCGACGGAGGGCCAGCCCCAACUGCUCGCUCUGUGUGGCUGCCACCCCCAUGACCGCGCCCUCCAGAUCAAACGGGAAAAACCUCAUUUGGCCUCAGCACGGUGAGGAACGGGAAGAGCGGCUGGCCCUCCUGACGCUUUGGCCUCCAGUGGGGGUCCCGCUGGCCCAGGCGCCCUGAGCUGAGCAGGGAGUCUUUCUCUUUGCUCAGUGAGCUGCUCUUUCCACCCUCGAGCAGGAACCAAGCAGCCUUUGUAAAGACGGGUGUGCUGUUGCGCAGACCCAAAACAAUGAGCUUUGCUUUGUGUAGAAAUCAACCCUCUGUACAGAAUUACGGCCAGAUGAACACAGAUCUACACUGAUAUUCAAAUGGAAUCACAGUGUUAUUUUCUCAGAUAAGCAAUGAACAUAUUUGAGCUAUGCUUUUUGAUCUUGUCUUGAAACUUACACCCACAGAAUUCGAAAUUUACUUCACCCUUCUUUUUUAUGCCUUGGGCACGUAUGUUUGUGUGUAGAAGUUCACAUACAUGUGAUUAUUCUGAUUAAAAAAAAAAAGAUCAUUAUAGAAAACACAGAAGAGUUUCAAGAAAAACCAAUAAAAGUUACCCACGCUUUCUCCAUUUACAGAUGAGCA